AUUGAACGCUGGCGGCAUGCCUUACACAUGCAAGUCGAACGGUAACAGGCCGCAAGGUGCUGACGAGUGGCGAACGGGUGAGUAACACAUCGGAACGUGCCUGAUAGUGGGGGAUAACUACUCGAAAGAGUAGCUAAUACCGCAUAAGAUCUCAGGAUGAAAGCAGGGGACCGCAAGGCCUUGCGCUAACAGAGCGGCCGAUGGCAGAUUAGGUAGUUGGUGGGAUAAAAGCUUACCAAGCCGACGAUCUGUAGCUGGUCUGAGAGGACGACCAGCCACACUGGGACUGAGACACGGCCCAGACUCCUACGGGAGGCAGCAGUGGGGAAUCUUGCGCAAUGGGCGAAAGCCUGACGCAGCGACGCCGCGUGGGUGAUGAAGGCCUCGGUUGUAAGCCUGUGGGGGAGACGGAAUAAGUACGUGGC
RNAcentral lists this ribosomal RNA (425 nucleotides) under uncultured bacterium. RNAcentral's name for it is "bacterial SSU rRNA". It matches the Rfam family "Bacterial small subunit ribosomal RNA", at positions 29 to 461 of the family's 1533-position model. The record is from RNAcentral.